RNAcentral lists this long non-coding RNA (595 nucleotides) under Junco hyemalis (dark-eyed junco). RNAcentral describes it as "lncRNA (ENSJHYG00000005969.1)". Lineage: Eukaryota; Metazoa; Chordata; Aves; Passeriformes; Passerellidae. The record is from RNAcentral.
AUUUGAGGAUUUUGGGUGGAUUUUGGGUGGAUUUUGGCCUUUUCCAGGCGCCCCCUCCCUGGCCCGCUGCCGCCGCCUCGGCCGCCGCCGCGAGGAAAAAGCCGAACUCGCCGCCCUCGACGCCUCCAACAUUUUACCCGGUAAAAACCCCAAAUUUCCCCAAAUUUCCCCAAAUUUCCCCAAAUUCACCAUUUUUAACCUCUUUUUUUUCAAUCCCCAGCGAGAUCCCGGCGGAGAAACCCCGAAAAUGCCCCAAAAUCGGCCCCGAAAUCGCCGCUGCCCCCCCCGGAUUGGUCGCGGCUCCGCGGCGUCGUCAGCUCCGACAGCGAGUGAAGUAUUUCCUGGUCCUGAGGAAGAGCCCCGGGGGCCGCUUGGGGCUCUGGGGGCCCUCGGGGGGGAAGAGGUCCCGGCCGGUUCUCAGGAUUUGCUCCUCCAGUUUCUUGUGGCGCUUCAUGUCCGACAGCACCUUGUCCAGCCGCGCCUCGCGCUUCUGCCCGCGGCUCGGGGGGCCUGGAUUGGGGGAAAAUUCACAAAUUUGGGGCAAAAUUCACAAAUUUGGGAACUUUUGGGAGGCCUCGAAUCGUCCCCAGAAUGG